UACUGGGAAUCUGCGCUGGGGUGGGGUUGUGAGGUGGGCAGGGCUGGGUGUGUAAAAAAGUUGCUUUUGGAGGCCGGGCAUGGUGGCUCAUGCCUGUAAUCCCAGCACUUUGGGAGGCCGAGGCGGGUGGAUUGCCUGAGGUCAAGAGUUCGAGACCAGCCAUGGCCAACAUGGUGAAACCCUGUCUCUACUAAAAAUACAAAAAAUUAGCUGAGCGUGGUGGCGGGCACCUGUAAUCCCAGCUACUGGGGAGGCUGAGGCAGGAGAAUCGCUUGAAUCUGGGAGGCAGAGGUUGCAGUAAGGCAAGAUCCUGCCAUUGCACUCCAGCCUGGGUGACAGAGCAAGACUCCGUCUCAAAAAAAAAAAGAAAAAAGUUGCUUUUGGAUUCUGCAACCUCUGCUCAUGAAGCUCUGGGGAAGGCAGGUUAGUUUGUAGAGUUUCAGAUGAGUUCUUCUGUGGCCUCUGUGCAAAAUCUGAAAUCUCCCUCCACCUUUUCUGCCUAGCGAAUUUCUUCCCAUCCUUGAAACCCCAGAUCACCUCCUCUGGAGAGCCUUCCCAGACUCCCUUAAUGGCUAAGCCUAUCUGCUGCCAUGGCCCUGAGGCCACACUUAGUACUCCUGAUUCCAAGUGAAGAAUGCAGUGUGCCUGCCUGCCCUCUGGACUGAGAGCUCCUCAAAGACAGAGAUAAUUUUCUCAUUUCUUUAUUGCACUAGCUAACUAGUGCAGUGCCUGGUACACCUAGUGACCGCUCUGUGUAUGUUUAUUUAACAAUAGUUUUUAUUUAUUGAGGGCUCCUUAUGUGCUUGGCACUUUAUAUUUAGAAACUUUUAAUUCUAACUCUAACCUAUUACAUAGGUAUUAUUGGCUCCAUUUUAUAGAUUAAAAAAACUGAGGCUUGGAGGCUUAAGUAGCCUGCCUGUGUCACGCAGCUAGUAACUGGCCAGAGCCAGGAUUUGAACUAGGUCUGCCCAACUCUAGAGUUUAUGUUCUUCACACAGACAAUACCGUUAAGGCAUGACUGAAGCCGUGAAUGGGCGCUAGCAGUAGACAGAGCCUGAGACCAAGAUCAUUUGAAUGGCCUUGGUUUCUAAAGGAGGGUGUGAUAUGGGACAGGCCGCUGAUUCAAGGAAGAGGGGCUCCUCUCCUUUUCCUUUGACUGUUUUGGGGUCUGUACCCAGAUCUCACCUCAUUCUGUCUUUCUGUCCUUAAGGAGAGAUGCCCAUUGGGACAAGGAAAGUGAUGCCUUCCUUCACCCACCCCUUCCCUUAUGAAGAUCUGCAACCUGUGGUUUCAAAGCCUUCGCCCAGCAUUCUGGGGCCCCCCACCCCUGCCAUCAUCCAUGAUGUGCCCUGUCUAUUCUUUUUUUUUU
Molecule: small RNA, 1369 nt
Filed under: Pan troglodytes (chimpanzee)
Lineage: Eukaryota; Metazoa; Chordata; Mammalia; Primates; Hominidae
Description: sense overlapping
Source: RNAcentral